RNAcentral lists this unclassified non-coding RNA (147 nucleotides) under soil metagenome. RNAcentral describes it as "partial internal transcribed spacer 1". The record is from RNAcentral.
UAAUAAGUGUUUUAUGGCACUUUUUUAAAUCCAUAUCCACCUUGUGUGCAAUGUCAGUCGAUCUUCUUCAUGGAGAUCGACCAAACAUCAACCUUUAUCUUUUAACUCUUUGUCUGAAAACUAUUAUGAAUAAACUAAUUCAAAAUA